UUAUAUAAUACGUAAGUAAUACUUUGGACCUUGGGUUUUCUACUUGUCAUCCUAAUCGUUGGAACUCACAAUGUAGGUAGGUAUUGACUGUAUGAGUUCAUUAGAUGAGAAGAGGUUGCCUAUGGUUUGUGCCUCUUUUGGAUCUUCUCUCUAGUCUUAGAAGAGCAAGAAGCAACAUACUAUCUUGAAACUCAAGUGCAGUGAUGAGGUGGAAAAUAAAGCUAACGAUACUUCCAAUACUGAAUUUUGAGUUUUCAAGAUAAUCUGUUGCUUCUUGUUCUUAGAAGACUAGAGAGAUGAUCCAAAAAAGGCAGAAACAGGUGACCUCUUCUCAUCUAAUGAACUCAUCCCGUCAGUACCUACCUACAUUAUGAGCUCCAAAUUCAUAUGACAAGUAGAAAAUUCAAGGUCCAAAGUAUUCCUUUUGCACUAAAUAA
This 437-nucleotide microRNA precursor is filed under the name Amborella trichopoda. Its description in RNAcentral is "miR8592 stem-loop (atr-MIR8592)". Lineage: Eukaryota; Viridiplantae; Streptophyta; Magnoliopsida; Amborellales; Amborellaceae. The record is from miRBase by way of RNAcentral.